UAUUAGGCUGGUGCAGAAGUAAUUGCGGUUUUUGCCAUUACUUUUAAUUUUUGCCAUUAAAAGUAAUGGCAAAACCACGAUUACUUUUGCACUAGCC
This 97-nucleotide microRNA precursor is filed under the name Chlorocebus sabaeus (green monkey). RNAcentral describes it as "miRNA (ENSCSAG00000025100.1)". The record is from RNAcentral. Lineage: Eukaryota; Metazoa; Chordata; Mammalia; Primates; Cercopithecidae.